GACAGAGGCCUCAAGCGUUAGGCGGAAUCACUGGCUUAAAGCGUGUGUAGGCGGAUCGUUAAGUGUCUUGUGAAAUCCCACGGCUCACCCGUGGAACUGCUGGGCAUACUGGCGAUCUUGGGCCAACUAGGGGCAACUGGAACAAGCGGUGGAGCGGUGAAAUGCGUAGAUAUCGCUUGGAACGCCAAAGGUGAAAACAGGUUGCUGGGGUUGUGCCGACGCUGAGACACGAAAGCCAGGGGAGCAAACGGG
Molecule: ribosomal RNA, 252 nt
Filed under: uncultured bacterium
Lineage: Bacteria
Description: partial 16S ribosomal RNA
Rfam family: Bacterial small subunit ribosomal RNA
Source: RNAcentral